GCCGGCAGAGCUGGGCCCGGUUCAGCACCUCCCUUGUAAGGAGGGAUUUCCGAGUUCAAAUCUCGGUGCCGGCU
This 74-nucleotide transfer RNA is filed under the name Halodesulfurarchaeum sp. HSR-GB. Its description in RNAcentral is "tRNA-Thr". It matches the Rfam family "tRNA". Rfam says of the family: Transfer RNA (tRNA) molecules are approximately 80 nucleotides in length. Their secondary structure includes four short double-helical elements and three loops (D, anti-codon, and T loops). The record is from RNAcentral. Lineage: Archaea; Methanobacteriati; Methanobacteriota; Halobacteria; Halobacteriales; Halobacteriaceae.